UCUUAUUAAGAGCGACGGAGGGAACAGGCCCUAUGAAGUCCAGCAACCAGGUUUUUCCACGGUGCUAAGUCCUGCAAGAAUUUCUUGAAAGAUGAGA
Molecule: non-coding RNA, 97 nt
Filed under: uncultured Phascolarctobacterium sp.
Lineage: Bacteria; Bacillati; Bacillota; Negativicutes; Acidaminococcales; Acidaminococcaceae
Description: SAM riboswitch (S box leader)
Rfam family: SAM riboswitch aptamer (S box leader)
About the family: The SAM riboswitch is found upstream of a number of genes which code for proteins involved in methionine or cysteine biosynthesis in Gram-positive bacteria. The SAM riboswitch acts at the level of transcription termination control.
Source: RNAcentral